AUCAUACACAAGGAGGGCACUGGCCACCUGACUGCAGAGAGCCACUGCUGUGGAGUCACAAAGCGAAGCCUACCCUGUGGGAGAGCCAGGAACAUUUCUGACUUGUGGAAGGCCUGGGGCACCAUGGCAAAGGAGCAAGUGAGAUGGGCCAUCCUAAACGGCUGUCGCAUGCCAGGAUGAAGGGCCAUGCAUCCAUUCAUUUGGCUGGAUACUAAGGACAGGGCCAUGCUUCUGUUCAUCUACUGGGACACUAAGGAAUCUGCAAGGAAUCUAUUCAUCAGCUUGGAUACUAAGACAGAGCCAUGCAUCUAGUCAUCUUCUUGGAUACUAAGGAAAGGCUGCUUCUGUCUUUGUGCAAGACAGGGCUAUGCAUCUGUUCAAGUGGUGGGAUAAUAAGAUAAGUCUGCUUUGGUUUUCUUUAUGACAGAGCCAUGUUUCUGUUCAUCUACCAAGACAUUAAAGUAAUUCUGCUUCUGUCUUCCUACAGGAGAGAUCCGUAUAUCUUUUCACCUGUUGGGAUACUAAGAUAAGUCUGUUUGCCUUCCUACACAAUGGGGACAUGCAUCUAUUCAUCUGCUCAGACACUAAGGUAGGGAUGCUGAUGUCUUCCUACAGGAUAGGGCCAUGUAUCUCUUCAUCUUACUGGAUACCAAGAAUGGGGCCAUGCAUCUGUUCAUCUUCUCAUAUACUAAAAUCAUGCAUCUGUUCAUCUGCCUGAAUACUAGGGACAGGGCCAUGCAUCUGUUCAUCUUCUUAUAUACUAAGGACAGAUCCACACACUUCAUCUGCUUGGACACCAUGAAAGUCUCCUUCUGUCUACCUACAGGACACAGCCAUGAAUCUAUUCAUCAGCUCAGAUACCAAGGACCUUGUGCUUUCAAGGUAGGCAAAGCACCACUGAGCUACCUUCCCACCUGCUGAUGUCUUCCUGCAAGACAGGGUCAUGCAUUUGGUCAUCUUCUCAGAUACUAAGGUAAGGCUGCUCCUGUCAUCAUACAAGACAGGGCCGUGCAUCUGUUCAUGUGCUGGGAUACUAAGGUAAGUCUACUGAUGUUUUCCUACAUGACAGAAUCAUGCAUCUGUUCAUCUGCCUGAAUACUAGGGUAAGGCUCCUGAUGUCUUCCUGUAGGAUAAAGCCAUGCAUGUCUUCAUGGGCCUAGGUACUACCUUAAUUGUUCUUCUGUCUUCCCACAGGACAGGGCCAUGGAUCUGUUCUUCUCCUUAUAUACUCAGGUAAGUCUGCUUCUGUCUUCCUAGAGGACAGAGCCAUGCAUUUGUUCAUCUACACAGACACUAAGGCAAGUCUUUGGAUGUCCUCCUGCAGGACAGAUCCAUGCAUCUGUUAAUGUGCACAGAUACUAAAGUAAGUCUGUUAAAAUCCUUGUGUUGGACCCAGCUUCUUUUGAACUUUCUUGGUGGCCAUGGAGUGAGUGUUUUGUCCCCUGAAGAGUUCAAACUUACUUGGCAUCCUAACG
Molecule: long non-coding RNA, 1475 nt
Filed under: Heterocephalus glaber (naked mole-rat)
Lineage: Eukaryota; Metazoa; Chordata; Mammalia; Rodentia; Bathyergidae
Description: lncRNA (ENSHGLG00000027922.2)
Source: RNAcentral